Long non-coding RNA from Hippocampus comes (tiger tail seahorse), 298 nucleotides. RefSeq lists it as uncharacterized. NCBI's taxonomy places the organism in Eukaryota, Metazoa, Chordata, Actinopteri, Syngnathiformes, Syngnathidae. The transcript has 2 exons. The record is from RefSeq and is a predicted model, not a curated record.
CACUUCCGCUUUCCUCUCUUCAACCACCAAUCAGAGAGGAAAAUGUGGCACCACUUCGACCAAUGAGAAUGGAGCGUAAACAGGAAGAGGAGGGCGCCGUCUACACAGAAAAAAAUGCAAGUGCGGUCCAAACAUGAACAAGAAGUGGGGCCCUUUGAAACAAAAUUGUGGAACGGAACUUACGAAAGUCUUUCUAAAUUCAUGUAAUAUCUGUUGCAUUGCCUUGAGGAUAAACCCACACGCACAUACUGAUUUUUAGUAUUUACAUCUUAGUCUUGUUUUUAAAAUUUGAGCAACA